UGUGACCCCAUAGAUGGCAGCCCACCAGGCUCCCCCGUCCCUGGGAUUCUCCAGGCAAGAACACUGGAGUGGGUCGCCGUUUCCUUCUCCAACGCAUGAAAGUGAAAAGGGAAAAUGAAGUCGCUCAGUCGAGUCCGACUCUUAGCGACCCCAUGGACUGCAGCCUACCAGGCUCCUCCAUCCACGGGAUUUUCCAGCCUCUGGAAUUAUCCAGACGUUCAGUGAACAGCAUUAUAGCAUGAAUGUGGAAAGAAGAGAUAAGCAUGUGACUGGACCCACAAACACCUUUGCUUGUGAGAGGCAUGCCCCCUUCUACAGGUCCUUGUACAGGUCACUGAUGAAAAUGUGAACCGGACUGGCAAAGGACAAAAUCCAGAUGUGAAAUCAAGUUUCAAUUUUAGCUGACUCCAGGGCUCGUGCUUUUAAAUACUAGCUGUUGCUUCCAUUUUUAAUUGCGAGACACCAUCUUGUUCUUCAAAUGUUUUAUGAUGUCUUACAAGGAUGCUAAAGAUAUGAGGAAGCAUGAAAUAAAUAACUGGAAUAAAGACAGACCAGAGAGAAGCAAAAUGAACUGUGGAUCAGAACAAAAUGUUUGAGCAUUUGCUAACUGCAGGGUCACUGGUUUGGCUUUGAGUGUUCUGAAAAGUCAAAAUAGGAACACAUGUUCAAUUGCUCAGUCAGCACUGAACGCAAACAUUGCUCAGGAGAAGUAUCUGGGAAACCCGGGGCUUCUUAAAGAUGAUACUGAGGAUUAAAGGAAUGUCUGCAAAAACAUCCUCAUGAUCUAUGCAGACAAGAGUGUCACAGGACUCAGUGAACCACAAUUUAUACCAUCCACUUCCUCCCUCAUAAAAAAACAAACAGAAUUUUGGCUUGCUUUAUACUUCUUCAAAAAUUUCUUCAUUCCCAUUUCCAGUACCUUUCCCAUCACUAAUCACUCACUCCAAAAGAAGAUUAAUAACCACCAUGCAAGUCUUGGCUCACAUUUUCUCAGUACUCCAGAAUGUAAUAAUAAUAGUUGGAGUAGUUAGGAUUUCUUUUUACAGUUUCACAGUUUCUUGGCUCACCUUUCCUUUUGGAUUCUCGUGCAUGAAAUCACACCUGACUUUAAGGAAUGAGGUUUCCCCUUGCAUGAAGUCGAUGUGCUAUUUCCCAGGCGGCUGUCAGGUCUGCAGGUGAGGUUAGCGUGAACGGGAAUAACAAGGUGCCCGUCACAGUGCCAGUGCACCGGCCCAUCCCUCCAUGCAGCUUGAUAAUGUGGAGUCAAGAACAGCAGAUUCCCUCGUGUCAGUUGAAACCAGUGAUGAGACCCAUAAUUUGUCACUUACCUGUAUGAGACUAUACAGUAAUGGGAGUUUUAUCUUGAAAGAUAUCAGUGUUUUCUUGCCAUCUGAAAAAGACAUGAUGUUAAGCGUGCUGGGAUUUUUGAAAGGAGAUCUGUUGACACAAGACUGAUGGUUAGGAUAGAAUCAUGCAUGAUUUGGAAAGUACUCUGUCAUCUUCUAACAUUAAGCCAUGUAACUCCUCUUUAGCUGGUUCCUUAUCCUUCAGAUCCCACCUUGAGUACCGGCUCCUCAGCUGAGCCUUCUCUGACAGCUCUGAAUAGGCAGUCCUCGUCCCUUGAUGAUUUUUUGUUUACUUAUUUCAGUCAGUAAACAUUCCCUAUUCUGCUACACAGAAGGGCAGCAGGACUUCCCUUGUGGUCUCAGGGCCUAGAUCAGGGUUUGGUUCAUAGCAGGGGCACUGUAACCACCUGCUGGAAAGAGUGAAAACAGCCAAACAGGUGGCUGUGGAGUCAGGCUCUGAGGAGCAUGUUGGGACCAAGUCUACAUCAUGAGAAGAGAGUGAGGCUGCUCUGAUAUCAGG
Bos taurus (domestic cattle) is the source of this 1866-nucleotide long non-coding RNA. NCBI's taxonomy places the organism in Eukaryota, Metazoa, Chordata, Mammalia, Artiodactyla, Bovidae. The record is from Ensembl.